GACGAACGCUGGCGGCGUGCUUAACACAUGCAAGUCGAACGGAAAGGCCCUGCUUUUGUGGGGUGCUCGAGUGGCGAACGGGUGAGUAACACGUGAGUAACCUGCCCUUGACUUUGGGAUAACUUCAGGAAACUGGGGCUAAUACCGGAUAGGAGCUCCUGCUGCAUGGUGGGGGUUGGAAAGUUUCGGCGGUUGGGGAUGGACUCGCGGCUUAUCAGCUUGUUGGUGGGGUAGUGGCUUACCAAGGCUUUGACGGGUAGCCGGCCUGAGAGGGUGACCGGCCACAUGGGGACUGAGAGACGGACCAGACGCCUACGGGAGGCAGCAGGGGGGAAUAUUGCACAAUGGGCGGAAGCCUGAUGCAGCAACGCCGCGUGCGGGAUGACGGCCUUCGGGUUGUAAACCGCUUUCGCCUGUGACGAAGCGUGAGUGACGGUAAUGGGUAAAGAAGCACCGGCUAACUACGUG
RNAcentral lists this ribosomal RNA (468 nucleotides) under uncultured bacterium. Its description in RNAcentral is "partial 16S ribosomal RNA". It matches the Rfam family "Bacterial small subunit ribosomal RNA", at positions 28 to 507 of the family's 1533-position model. The record is from RNAcentral.